AGGACGAACGCUGGCGGCGUGCCUCAUACAUGCAAGUGGAGCGGCGAACCAGGAUUUAUCCUGGGGCAAAGCCGCGAACGGGUGAGUAACACGUGGGUUACCUGCCCCGAUGAUUGGGACAACCCGAGGAAAACUCGGGCUAAUACCAAAUGUGUUCUUGGUCGUGAUGACCAAGAAGAAAGGAAGCCUCGGCCUCCGCAUCGGGAUGGGCCCGCGGCCCAUUAGCUAGUUGGUGGGGUAAUGGCCUACCAAGGCGACGAUCGAUAGCUGGUCUGAGAGGAUGAUCAGCCACAUUGGGACUGAGACACGGCCCAAACUCCUACGGGAGGCAGCAGUGGGGAAUAUUGGACAAUGGGCGCAAGCCUGAUCCAGCCAUGCCGCGUGAGUGAUGACGGCCUUAGGGUUGUAAAGCUCUUUCACCCACGACGAUAAUGACGGUAGUGGGAGAAGAAGCCCGGCUAACUUCGUGCCAGCAGCCGC
RNAcentral lists this ribosomal RNA (480 nucleotides) under uncultured bacterium. Its description in RNAcentral is "SSU rRNA". It matches the Rfam family "Bacterial small subunit ribosomal RNA", at positions 26 to 518 of the family's 1533-position model. The record is from RNAcentral.